CCUACGGGAGACUGCAGUGAGGAAUAUUGGUCAAUGGACGAGAGUCUGAACCAGCCAAGUAGCGUGAAGGAUGACUGCCCUAUGGGUUGUAAACUUCUUUUAUAUGGGAAUAAAAUGUUCCACGUGUGGGAUUUUGUAUGUCCCAUAUGAAUAAGGAUCGGCUAACUCCGUGCCAGCAGCCGCGGUAAUACGGAGGAUCCGAGCGUUAUCCGGAUUUAUUGGGUUUAAAGGGAACGUAGGUGGAUUGUUAAGUCAGUUGUGAAAGUUUGCGGCUCAACCGUAAAAUUGCAGUUGAAACUGGCAGUCGUGAGUACAGUAGAGGUGGGCGGAAUUCGUGGUGUAGCGGUGAAAUGCUUAGAUAUCACGAAGAACUCCGAUUGCGAAGGCAGCUCACUGGACUGCAACUGACACUGAGGCUCGAAAGUGUGGGUAUCAAACAGGAUUAGAUACCCCAGUAGUC
RNAcentral lists this ribosomal RNA (460 nucleotides) under uncultured bacterium. RNAcentral describes it as "partial 16S ribosomal RNA". It matches the Rfam family "Bacterial small subunit ribosomal RNA", at positions 338 to 795 of the family's 1533-position model. The record is from RNAcentral.